Molecule: long non-coding RNA, 484 nt
Filed under: Brassica napus (rape)
Lineage: Eukaryota; Viridiplantae; Streptophyta; Magnoliopsida; Brassicales; Brassicaceae
Description: long non-coding RNA (BNAP_LNC020624)
Source: RNAcentral
CUGUUGACCGCAGAGUAUGUAUAAUUAUUCUUAGUCGUCAAACUAAAUCAUCCCUUGCAGUUUCUCGUAACCUUCAGAAAUUACUAGGUUUAUGUCAUAAGCUUUUUAUACACACUUUAAUAUAUAUAUAUGAAGGGCUAAUGUAUCAUUGAUACGUACCAGAAUACUUUCACAUUUAGUUUCGCAACAACAAAGGUGAUGUUUCGUCUAUUCUGCUGUUUCAUCAGCUGCACCAAGAUAAGACCGUCGUCGCCUCAACCACAAGUUGUUGAAACGGGCAAGAAAAUUCCAGAAUCUCCUCCUCUAUCCAAAGUGGCCACAACGGAGAAGAAAAAGCCACGGCCGUCUCCGAGACUGCCAGUAAAGGCUUCAGGCCGUCGCAAACGCUAUGGUAAAAACGCUGGCGGUGUUGGAGGUUGCGGUGGUGGAUGUGGCAGUGGUGGAUGUGGCGGCGGCUGAUAGCUAGUUAUAUUGAAGACAUGAG